AACGGAUGAUUAUAAGCGUGUGAAACAGUUCGGAAUUGCUAUCAACUCAGGUGGGUUCCCUUAAGUUCAAUUUCACCUUAAUAGAGUAGUUCAUAGUUUUCCCCAAAUAUUAAACUAUGCAUGACAACUUAAGUUUGGUUAUGUUUAGGAUUAAAUUAGGAUAACUCAUUAACUGAUCAAUUAACCACUUAAAUAAGCCUUGCAUGUUUAAUUGACUGUAAUAUGUGGAAUUUAGUACGAAGUAUAAUUAUAUAAGCUGAAUUGGACAUAAACACUAUGUUGAGUUAUGCAGGAUUCCGUGGUUGAAUCGGCUCAACCAGAGCUUGCAUUGAUCCAUAAGUUUCCUUGUGAAGCAAAAAUGUGUUUUAUGCGCCUCAUGAGCCGGUUCAUGCCUUGAAUGAGCCUAUGCAUAAGCGCAUAAUGUAUUUUAUUAAAAUCUGGGAAAUGUUGCAUCGGUACAAACAUUGUGUGAACCGGCUUAAGCAUGGCCUGGGUAAGUUUGAAUUGGUACAAGGCAAACUUGUGUCGAUGCAUAUAAGUCAAAUAUCUUGCUUUCUUAAAAACUGGAUUAUAUGCAUCGGUACAUAGAACCCUUGAACCGGUGCAAACAAAAUAAUUUACUAAAAACCUUUUGGCUUAUAUAUAGGAGGUAUAAUAACCGUUUUAUUUCAAAUGAAAAUCCUCCAUUAUGAACAUUAUUUUAUAAAAACUAUAAGUGACUAUAAUUCUACGAUUACGGACUUUCAUACAUGUAUUAAAAUCAAUUAGACAAUUGAAUCAGGAUAUUCAGGAUUGUUAGGAAUACCCCCGGAAGGUUUUCUUUUCUUUGGGUAGGAUAACCAUUCAAGAUUAUGAACAUUAGUUACCAUGUCAUGAGAAUCAUUUCAGAAUCCGAGAAAUUUAAUAAGAACUGCAAACUGACGUGGAACCCGACGUAUAUUAUUAUCGGUAGGACGAGGACUAGGCACUCCGGGACCUGCUUGCCUCGAAGUGACCCUAUGCGGAUAAAAUUGACAAGA
This 1019-nucleotide long non-coding RNA is filed under the name Trifolium pratense (red clover). RNAcentral's name for it is "long non-coding RNA (TPRA_LNC004673)". Lineage: Eukaryota; Viridiplantae; Streptophyta; Magnoliopsida; Fabales; Fabaceae. The record is from RNAcentral.